CCUACGGGAGGCAGCAGUGAGGAAUAUUGGUCAAUGGACGAGAGUCUGAACCAGCCAAGUAGCGUGAAGGAUGACUGCCCUAUGGGUUGUAAACUUCUUUUAUAUGGGAAUAAAACGUUCCACGUGUGGGAUUUUGUAUGUACCAUAUGCAUAAGGAUCGGCUAACUCCGUGCCAGCAGCCGCGGUAAUACGGAGGAUCCGAGCGUUAUCCGGAUUUAUUGGGUUUAAAGGGAGCGUAGGUGGGUUGUUAAGUCAGUUGUGAAAGUUUGCGGCUCAACCGUAAAAUUGCAGUUGAAACUGGCAGUCUUGAGUACAGUAGAGGUGGGCGGAAUUCGUGGUGUAGCGGUGAAAUGCUUAGAUAUCACGAAGAACUCCGAUUGCGAAGGCAGUUCACUGGACUGCAACUGACACUGAGGCUCGAAAGUGUGGGUAUCAAACAGGAUUAGAUACCCUGGUAGUC
This 460-nucleotide ribosomal RNA is filed under the name uncultured bacterium. Its description in RNAcentral is "partial 16S ribosomal RNA". It matches the Rfam family "Bacterial small subunit ribosomal RNA", at positions 338 to 795 of the family's 1533-position model. The record is from RNAcentral.